UGAUAAUUUAAUUCGGUUCGGUUCUGUUUGAACCGAAUGCUCACCCUUAACCACAACCUUGGAGGAGAGAUGUGGUUCCCAACAAGACUAUACCUCAGCUUGUGCCUGACACCCUUUUGCUAGACAUUAAUCAAUAAAAAUUCUUACUAAUUGGGCGAACUUAUGGCAAAUUCCAUACAAAGUUUGAAAUAAUAGUCUUAGUUUCUGUAAGAUGAUGAACAAUAUUUGCACUCCAUUAUACAUAGUAGGGGUAGAUAAAUUUGUGGUGAAAAGCCAGAAACAUAUCAUAACUUCUUAGCAUUGCUGAGUGCUAAAGGAUUCCAAAUUUGCAAUUACAAUUUAUGUUCCUUUCUUGCAAUACCUUCACCAAGUACUAUUUGAAGUUCAACAGAAAUUCACCGUUUCUUUGACAUCAAGUCAGUCUACAACUAAGUACACUAAAUUAACAUAAAAAAAUCUCGUUGAGCUGCAGAAUACACACACUUGCCACCAAAUCUCAACCUUGUAAUUAAUUAAUUAAUUCUUUGAUUGAUUUUUAAACAUGGCAAAGUAGCUAUUACCACUUUCAGAAGAAGCCGUCUGAG
RNAcentral lists this unclassified non-coding RNA (584 nucleotides) under Hevea brasiliensis (rubber tree). Lineage: Eukaryota; Viridiplantae; Streptophyta; Magnoliopsida; Malpighiales; Euphorbiaceae. The record is from RNAcentral.